CAACGCUAAUAACCAACACAUAAAUAACAUCUUUUUUUUCUUGACUCCCCUUUAGAUUCAUCAGCAACUUUUUUUAGUCAACAUUAAUUUGUGUCCAAACUGAGAAUCAGGGAGAAACAUUUGAAUUACCUUUUUUUCCCAUUUCGUUAUUGUUUUCGUAAACUAUCAAAGCCGUUCAUAACAACUGAUUUGUUCAUUGAUCUGAUUAAACUUUUGUUUGCUUCAUUUUUUGCUUCACUUGAAAUCUUUGCGAUCGUCUGUUCAUCCUCCGAUCAUGAAUAAAUUAGUCUUUUACAGUUUACUUGUAAUCGCUAUUUCCUUCCUAAUCAUCUCGUCAACUCCAUCGAGUGAAGCCUUCUUCGUUCUCGUUGGCAACACGACAGCCUGUGAUACUUGUGACGAUUACAGUACUUACUCUGGACGUAAUGUCGUUUGCUGUUUCGCCAAAAGCCAAUGCUGUGGGCUUAACUCUUUUGACGAGGAAGCGCCACAGUCGCGUUGAUCAAAAGGUUUCACCAACAAAUCAAUGGAAUGGUGUUUUUACGUUUGCUUGUCAAUCUCUUUGUGGUUUCUGUCUUUUCACUCCUGUCUUCACAAUUUGAUUAAAUAUUUGAUUUAAACCUCUGA
Tetranychus urticae (two-spotted spider mite) is the source of this 627-nucleotide non-coding RNA. NCBI's taxonomy places the organism in Eukaryota, Metazoa, Arthropoda, Arachnida, Trombidiformes, Tetranychidae. The record is from RefSeq and is a predicted model, not a curated record.